RNAcentral lists this ribosomal RNA (846 nucleotides) under Streptomyces sp. RNAcentral describes it as "bacterial SSU rRNA". It matches the Rfam family "Bacterial small subunit ribosomal RNA", at positions 84 to 939 of the family's 1533-position model. The record is from RNAcentral. Lineage: Bacteria; Bacillati; Actinomycetota; Actinomycetes; Kitasatosporales; Streptomycetaceae.
UAUAGGGGUUAGUGGCGACGGGUGAGUAACACGUGGGCAAUCUGCCCUGCACUCUGGGACAAGCCCUGGAAACGGGGUCUAAUACCGGAUACUGAUCCGCCUGGGCAUCCAGGCGGUUCGAAAGCUCCGGCGGUGCAGGAUGAGCCCGCGGCCUAUCAGCUUGUUGGUGAGGUAGUGGCUCACCAAGGCGACGACGGGUAGCCGGCCUGAGAGGGCGACCGGCCACACUGGGACUGAGACACGGCCCAGACUCCUACGGGAGGCAGCAGUGGGGAAUAUUGCACAAUGGGCGAAAGCCUGAUGCAGCGACGCCGCGUGAGGGAUGACGGCCUUCGGGUUGUAAACCUCUUUCAGCAGGGAAGAAGCGAAAGUGACGGUACCUGCAGAAGAAGCGCCGGCUAACUACGUGCCAGCAGCCGCGGUAAUACGUAGGGCGCAAGCGUUGUCCGGAAUUAUUGGGCGUAAAGAGCUCGUAGGCGGCUUGUCACGUCGGUUGUGAAAGCCCGGGGCUUAACCCCGGGUCUGCAGUCGAUACGGGCAGGCUAGAGUUCGGUAGGGGAGAUCGGAAUUCCUGGUGUAGCGGUGAAAUGCGCAGAUAUCAGGAGGAACACCGGUGGCGAAGGCGGAUCUCUGGGCCGAUACUGACGCUGAGGAGCGAAAGCGUGGGGAGCGAACAGGAUUAGAUACCCUGGUAGUCCACGCCGUAAACGGUGGGCACUAGGUGUGGGCAACAUUCCACGUUGUCCGUGCCGCAGCUAACGCAUUAAGUGCCCCGCCUGGGGAGUACGGCCGCAAGGCUAAAACUCAAAGGGAAUUUGACGGGGGGCCCGCACAAGCGGGCGGGAG